CUGAAUCUAGUUUAAAUAAAAGUUGAAGCACACAUUGUAAAUAUGCAACAGGGAAUCACAUAAAUAUCCAAACAUAAUUUUUUGACUUUUUAAAAAUUUACUGAGAUAUUCCUAGUACCUGAAACAAAGCCUGGCAUAUAGUAGGCACUCACUAAACAUUUGUUGAAUGAAUGAGUGAUAGAUCUAUCACUCCAAACCUGUCCUUCUGAUAAUUAUUUCCUAAGCAAAUAUCUGGGGCUUUGCGAUACAUCCUUUAUUCACAGCAAUUGUCUGUACUCUUCAGAAUGGCUGUUAUCAAAGCUCUACUUGUAGACCAAAAGAAGGGGCAUUUGGUUGACCUUUUUGUUAAGAAUGAAAGUCCCAAGGGCUUAUUAAAGGUUUAUAUGAUUUUCAGCUCCUCUUUGUGUGUUUUGGGGAUUUGGCUCAAGAUACAUCGUUAAAAACAACAACAACAACAACUUUUUUUUUAGAGACAGAGUCUAGCUGUGUAGCCCAGGCUAGAGUACAGUGGCAUGAUCAUAGCUCACUGUAACCUUGAACUCCUGGGCUCAAGCCAUCCUAUUGCCUCAGCCUCCCAAGUAGCUAGGGCUACAGGUGCACACCACCAUACCUGGCUAAUUUUAAAAUUUUUUGUAGAGACAGGGUCCUACUAUGUUGCCCAGGCUGGUCAUGAAUGCCUGGCCUUAAAGUGAUCCUCCCUCCUUGGCCUCCCAAAGUGCUGAAAUUACAGGAGUGAGCCACCAUACUCAGCUCCUCAGCUCUCAGGAUACAUUUUUUUUUUUUUUUUUUAAGACAGGGUAUUUCUCUGUUGCCCAGGCUGGAGUGCAAUGGCACAAUCACUUCAGCCUGGACCUCCUGGGCCCAAGUGAUCCUCCUACCUCAGCCUCCCAAGUAGCUGGGACUACAGGCAAGUACCCCCAUGCCCAGAUAAUUUUAUUUUUUUUGUAGAGACAAGGUCUUACUUUGUUGCCCAGGUUGGUCUCAAACUCCUGGACUCAAGCUAUCCUCCUGCCUGGGCCUCCCAAAGUGCUGGGAUUAUAGGCAUGAGCUACCAUGCCCGGCCUCAAGAUACAUCUUGAGCAUUAAUCAGAAGCUGAAAAACUGAUCAAUAAAGAUAUUUUGUAGGAAGACUAGGUCAGCGAACAUAGUACUACUUCUUUAAAGGUCAUUGGAAGCCAGGCAAAGUGGCUCACACCUGUAAUCCCGACACUUUUUUUUCUCCUGCUAAUGCAGGAGAAUUGCUUAGGGCCAGGAGUUACCAGCCUGAGCAACAUAGCAAGACCCUGUCUCAAAAAAAAAAAAAAAAAAAAAAAAAAAAAUGAAGGGAGGGAGAGAGAGAGGGAGGAAGAAAGGAAGGAAAGAAAAUUAGCCAGGUGUAGUUGUAUGCACCUGUAGUCCCAGCUACUCGAGAGGCUGAGGUGACAGGAUCACAUGAGCCCAGUGUCAGGCCUCUGAGCUCAAGCUAAGCCAUCAUAUCCCCAGUGACCUGCACGUAUACAUCCAGAUGGCCUGAAGCAACUGAAGAUUCACAAAAGAAGUGAAAAUAGCCUUAACUGACGAAGUUCCACCAUUGAUUUAUUUCUGCCCCAACCUAACUGAUCAAUGUACUUUGUAAUCUCCCCCACCCUUAAGAAGGUUCUUUGUAAUUCUCCCCACCCUUGAGAAUGUACUUUGUGAGAUCCACCCCCUGCCCCCAAAACAUUGCUCUUAACUCCACUGCCUAUCCCAAAACCUCUAAGAACUAAUAAUGAUAAUCCACCACCCGUUGCUGACUCUCUUUUUGGACUCAGCCCGUCUGCACCCAGGUGAAAUAAACAGCCAUGUUGCUCACACAAAGCCUGUUUGGUAGUCUCUUCACACGGACACGUAAGACAUUUGGUGCCGAAGACCCGGGUCAGCGGACUCCUUUGGGAGACCAGUCCGCUGUCCUCACCCUCACUCUGUGAAGAGAUCCACCUAUGACCUCGGGUCCUCAGACCAACCAGCCCAAGGAACAUCUCACCGAUUUUAAAUCGGGAGCCCACUGGAAAUCAGACUAUCCAACUUGCCUGGCAGCCACUCCCAGAGCCCCUGGAACUCUGGUCCAAGGCUCUGACUGACUCCUUCCCAGAUCUCGGCUUAGCGGCUGAAGACUGACACUGCCCAAUCUUCUCGGAAGCCUCCUGGACCAUCACACUUACAGUGGAGGAAGACAGGAAGGUCAGGCCUCUGAGCCCAAGCUAAGCCAUCAUAUCCCCAGUGACCUGCACGUAUACAUCCAGAUGGCCUGAAGCAACUGAAGAUCCACAAAAGAAGUGAAAAUAGCCUUAACUGACGAAGUUCCACCAUUGAUUUAUUUCUGCCCCAACCUAACUGAUCAAUGUACUUUGUAAUCUCCCCCACCCUUAAGAAGGUUCUUUGUAAUUCUCCCCACCCUUGAGAAUGUACUUUGUGAGAUCCACCCCCUGCCCCUAAAACAUUGCUCUUAACUCCACUGCCUAUCCCAAAAUCUUUAAGAACUAAUUAAUGAUAAUCCACCACCCGUUGCUGACUCUCUUUUCGGACUCAGCCCGCCUGCACCCAGGUGAAAUAAACAGCCAUGUUGCUCACACAAAGCCUGUUUGGUGUUCUCUUCACACGGACACAUGAGACACCCAGGAGUUCAAGUUUGCAAUGAACUA
Molecule: long non-coding RNA, 2660 nt
Filed under: Homo sapiens (human)
Lineage: Eukaryota; Metazoa; Chordata; Mammalia; Primates; Hominidae
Description: HSALNT0361541
Source: RNAcentral